This is a long non-coding RNA of Oreochromis aureus, 2013 nucleotides long. RefSeq lists it as uncharacterized. The transcript has 4 exons. Lineage: Eukaryota; Metazoa; Chordata; Actinopteri; Cichliformes; Cichlidae. The record is from RefSeq and is a predicted model, not a curated record.
UGAAUCUGUAAUGCAUCCAGUUUUUAGUUUGUGCACAAUUUUCCUCUCCUAUACCACGAGGUUUUUGUUUUUGUUUUUGCGGCAAACGUGGCUCAGUCAUCAUAUUUUUGCUUUGUAACACAGGGAAGUAUCCUGCUGAAAGAGGCCACAGCCAGGGGCAGGGAAUAGGAUGCAAUGCUUAGGACGGAUGAAGCCUAAUGACUCCUUUGAACUGCCGACAUCCCCGGCAGAUUGGAUUCGGGAAUGUCAGCCAACUAACCUUUAGUCUCUUUCCCACAUGAAGCAACAGUGAAGGGCACGUAAUACCAAUCUUUCGAUUCAUGUCCCUCUCCUGUAUUCAUAAUCAGGAUAUGCUGGCAUAGUGUGAAAGGAAGGCAAAAAGUGAAGAAGAAGAAGCAUUGUCAAACUCAUGCUUCACCACGGACACUCAUAGGAUCUUUCUCUGUGCGCCCCUCUGUUUCUCAAUCUUAGCGUCUUAUAAAACUGCCUGAGUUUCUCCUUUGGAUGGGCCAUGCUGUCUUGUGGUGAUUUAAAGGGAAGAAGGGAGAUCAUGCUGGAUCAUGGCAGACCCACCACAGCACAGAGACCUCCCUGCCGAUGAGCAAACACCACGACAAAUGGCAGAGCUAGCUGGACAAUCACUUGCUGAAUGGAAGCUAAUUAGCUGGAGUCUAAUGCCAGUUUACUAACACCUGUAUUAGUGUGCUCGCUCGGCAGGGAGUAAGGGCUGGCCAACAAGUGCUAAUCCCUCAUAAGCCCAAAGUACUCCUCCCAAACAGUGGCAUUAACAUAUACUUCUCAAGCCAGCUGUUGCUAACCUGAACCCAAAAGAGACAGCUUCAACAGUGAUGUGUUGCUAAAGAGGAGGGGAAAGAUCGGUAACGGGUUACCUAUGCAUUCCUGUAGAAUCCCCCCCCCCCCGAAAUGCUGUGGACCACAAUUUAUCCUCUUUCUUGUCAUUUUCCCCAUCUCUCAAGCGUACAUUUUUUAGUUACUUGGAAACGCCAUCAUUUGCAUGUGUCCAUUUCAACCUCAUUCCUUGGCUGUCUUGCACUCUCCCAUCCUCUCCCACUGCAUGGGUGGUGGGCUGAUUACCCAGUAGCCAUGUGUGUAUCAAGGCAAGUGCGAAGCCAAUGUGUGUGUAAGGGAUUAGUGAGCUUUAGCAUUAACAUCAUGACUGGACUGGCUACAUUCCCUCGCUGCACUAAUAAUUUGAGGGGAGGAGAAAGCGGCUGGUCCAUUAGCUCACUCUGUUUGCCCAAGAGUAGGCCGACUCUGAUCCCCUAAUUUCUCUCACCGAUUCCAAGAGGAUCUCUAGCUUUUGUGACAGAGGGAUGCAAAGAUAAAGGAUGGGACUGAGGGGCACAUUGAUUCAGAGAUCACCGUCCUUGGGACAUUCUGUGCACUUACCAAACUAAUCAGUGUGUGUAAACACAGCGAGACAUGUUGAGAGUUGGCGGCUAAAAGGCUGGGGUCUCUGAGGUUGAUUAGGAAGACCUGUUGAUGGACCACACUCAGUGUUGGUGUGCUCUGAUCUGCAGACAUUAUGCAGAAAAUCUGUGAGCCCCUUUGGCUCAUGUGUCACACUAGUUCUGACUGUGGGUGGCUCCAAGUUGGCUUGUUGUAGCCUCUGGUGCGCUUACAAAGUGUUAACAGAUCAGGUAUCUGAUGCUUCUCCCAAAGUCCUUUUUAAAAUGUAGCACAAAUGCUAUUCAGUUUAUGAAAAAGCAGGGGUAAGAUUAUUGUGAGGAAUCUGUUUUGGACCAUACCAUCAUGUGCACCCCCUGACCUGUGUGUGCAUGGGAAAUCAGAUAUGUUUCCAUGGAGUAAUACUGAGACUGUGGAGUUUUUUUGUACAAAUUGUCCAGUUUUUUUGUUGUAGAACUCUCCUUCAUUGUAAAAAGGCAUCUGUAAACCUGGUCUAACCUUGUGUGUCUCCCUCUGAGGUUAAAAUCUAAAAAAAAUUUCAGCUCUCAUUUAAAAUCCCAUGUUUGACCAUACACUAAUAAAAGA